GAUAAUGUGCUUGAUUAAAAGGUCGCCUUGAUAGGGCGGAACAAGAGAGUUCUCCUCUCCAUUAUCA
This 67-nucleotide transfer RNA is filed under the name Notostomus gibbosus. RNAcentral describes it as "tRNA-Ile". The record is from RNAcentral. Lineage: Eukaryota; Metazoa; Arthropoda; Malacostraca; Decapoda; Oplophoridae.